GGCGAGCGAACAGGGAAGAGCCCAGCGCCGAAUUCCGCGUCUCAAAGGGCGUUUGGAACAUGUGGCGUUUAGGAGGAAUCUCUCCGAGGGCAGACGGUGUCGCAAGUCCCCCUGAACGGGGCUGUGAUCCAGAGCGGGUGCGAGGCCCAUAGCUGGUACCGUCUCCUUUGGGUGUCCCCUCCUUGGAGUCGGGUUGCUUGGGAGUGCAGCCCUAAUUGGGUGGUAAACUCCACCUAAGGCUAAAUACGUCCGUGAGACCGAUAGCAAACAAGUACCGUGAGGGAAAGUUGCAAAGAACUUUGAAGAGAGAGUUCAAGAGUACGUGAAACCGCUCAGAGGCAAACGGGUGGGCCCACGAAAGCCGAAGGCGGGGGGAUUCAGUCGAGAGGACGGUGGGGCAGGACUGGCUGGUUGGACGGACCGUGCCAGGCCGGGUCAGUUCCCGAGAUCUGCCGCCUUUCGACGCAUUUCCCCCUGCUUAGUAGGACGCCGCAACCGGUUGGCGCUGCAGCCAUAAGGGAGAGUAAAUGGAAGGUAGCCAGUGAGUUCUUCUUCGGAGGCGCGAGCUGGUCCUAAGCCGACUCUCCUGGUGCUUGUGGCCCGACCGUGGUCGUGAGUCCCUCAACGGGAUGUCGCCGAGCCCUCUGACUGGAGCGGGAGAAGUGGCAGGCUGCUUUCCGCGGAAAAAAUCGAUCGCUUCACGCGUGCAGUGGGCGAUCUCCGGAGGUAGCUGCUGGUGCGUUUUUCUCCUGCGCUGGGCACAGGCAGUUGGCGGCGAGUAGGUCGGUCACCCACCCGACCCGUCUUGAAACACGGACCAAGGAGUCUAACAUGUGCGCGAGUCAUUGGGUCUUGAACAAGCCCAAAGGCGCAAUGAAAGUGAAGACCAGCACUGAAGCUGGUGGAGUUGGGAAACUGCGUCACUGAAGAUGCAGUUGCACCAACGGCCCGUCCCGUCCGCAUCGUCGGUGGGGCGGAGCGAGAGCGUACACGUUGGGACCCGAAAGAUGGUGAACUAUGCCUGGGCAGGACGAAGCCAGAGGAAACUCUGGUGGAGGUCCG
This 1062-nucleotide ribosomal RNA is filed under the name Draculoides sp. SCH076. RNAcentral describes it as "partial large subunit ribosomal RNA". It matches the Rfam family "Eukaryotic large subunit ribosomal RNA", at positions 88 to 877 of the family's 3401-position model. RNAcentral also lists the same sequence under 1 other name. Lineage: Eukaryota; Metazoa; Arthropoda; Arachnida; Schizomida; Hubbardiidae. The record is from RNAcentral.